GGGACAACAGUUGGAAACGACUGCUAAUACCGCAUAAUGUCUACGGACCAAAGGGGGCUUCGGCUCUCGCCUUUAGAUUGGCCCAAGUGGGAUUAGCUAGUUGGUGAGGUAAUGGCUCACCAAGGCAACGAUCCCUAGCUGGUUUGAGAGGAUGAUCAGCCACACUGGAACUGAGACACGGUCCAGACUCCUACGGGAGGCAGCAGUGGGGAAUAUUGCACAAUGGGCGAAAGCCUGAUGCAGCCAUGCCGCGUGUGUGAAGAAGGCCUUCGGGUUGUAAAGCACUUUCAGUCAGGAGGAAAGGGUGUGAGUUAAUACCUCACAUCUGUGACGUUACUGACAGAAGAAGCACCGGCUAACUCCGUGCCAGCAGCCGCGGUAAUACGGAGGGUGCGAGCGUUAAUCGGAAUUACUGGGCGUAAAGCGUACGCAGGCGGUUUGUUAAGCGAGAUGUGAAAGCCCCGGGCUCAACCUGGGAACUGCAUUUCGAACUGGCAAACUAGAGUGUGAUAGAGGGUGGUAGAAUUUCAGGUGUAGCGGUGAAAUGCGUAGAGAUCUGAAGGAAUACCGAUGGCGAAGGCAGCCACCUGGGUCAACACUGACGCUCAUGUACGAAAGCGUGGGGAGCAAACGGGAUUAGAUACCCCGGUAGUCCACGCCGUAAACGAUGUCUACUAGAAGCUCGGAACCUCGGUUCUGUUUUUCAAAGCUAACGCAUUAAGUAGACC
Molecule: ribosomal RNA, 728 nt
Filed under: uncultured Pseudoalteromonas sp.
Lineage: Bacteria; Pseudomonadati; Pseudomonadota; Gammaproteobacteria; Alteromonadales; Pseudoalteromonadaceae
Description: bacterial SSU rRNA
Rfam family: Bacterial small subunit ribosomal RNA
Source: RNAcentral